GAAACGUGCUUCAACAACUUACUUUCUUAAUGAAUUUACUAAUUUUGUAUCUCAACAUAUACCAGAAGUGGGAAUUCAUUUGUUCCCAUGUUAUCAGUGUUCAAUACAACCCGAAUUGUUUGAUGAAAUGAAGGAUUGGUAUAGCUAUCAGCCCAUCAAUACAUUUAGUAAUAGACAAUUUAACAUUUCUGGACUAUAUCAUAGUCUGAUGCAUGAAAGCAGAAAAAAUAGGAUAGGAUGUCUCAAGGGAAUGAGCGAGACAUUUUUAGGAGAACUGAUGCAACAGUGCAAUACAGCUAAUACAUGUAGUGUACACAGCCGAGACAUGCUGCAGAUAGGAUUGAAUAUGUUAAAGGACAGAAUACAUCAUCAUAAUGCAAUGAUAAUGUUAGGCAGAGAUUCCCUUUCACUACGGAUGAAAACCAACCUGCUGAUGGUCAGGGACAGUGCUAGACAGAGGGUUGUGCUCGGGUGUUAAGGAGCCACGAGUCUGUUCUGGCACAAAAGUGCUAUAAUGUCAUCUGAAAAUGUUCAAUUUAAUCAAGUUGUUACUUGCACUCGUCGGACCGAAUACAGAACACAAUUUGGGAGGGCGAAAGUGUUAACAUAUAAAAAGUUCGCUAGAGGACUCUUUUUUUUUGGAUUUAGCGGCAUCAAAUGGAACAAUGAUGUAAAACUUGGGGCUGGAUGAGUAAGAAGAUAUGUUCAACCUGAGGGGUCAACAAGAGUCCCUGAAAGCAUACUUUCCACAGCAACACUCCCACCCACAAGAGCAGGUCACAGUGUGCCUAAAGAAAAUGUGACAUCAAUUUAUGUAUUAGUCGCACUCCCACCCACAAGAGCAGGAUGUGCCAAAAGAAAAUAUGGCACCACUUUAUGCACCACGAACAAAACCUUCCGUAAGUAUAUUAAUGUACAGUUUAAAUAAUUUUCAAAAAUCAUGAUUGAUUGUUGGUUUUUAAACGUCCAGUGGCAAAUAUUUCAUACAUGUUCAGGACGGGAACAAGUUAACAAUUAAUACUGUCA
Molecule: long non-coding RNA, 1026 nt
Organism: Mytilus trossulus (common blue mussel)
Lineage: Eukaryota; Metazoa; Mollusca; Bivalvia; Mytilida; Mytilidae
Exons: 3
Source: RefSeq, a predicted model, not a curated record